Molecule: ribosomal RNA, 342 nt
Filed under: uncultured bacterium
Lineage: Bacteria
Description: bacterial SSU rRNA
Rfam family: Bacterial small subunit ribosomal RNA
Source: RNAcentral
AGAGUUUGAUCAUGGCUCAGAUUGAACGCUGGCGGCAGGCCUAACACAUGCAAGUCGAGCGGAUGACAGGAGCUUGCUCCUGGAUUCAGCGGCGGACGGGUGAGUAAUGCCUAGGAAUCUGCCUGGUAGUGGGGGACAACGUUUCGAAAGGAACGCUAAUACCGCAUACGUCCUACGGGAGAAAGCAGGGGACCUUCGGGCCUUGCGCUAUCAGAUGAGCCUAGGUCGGAUUAGCUUGUUGGUGAGGUAAUGGCUCACCAAGGCGACGAUCCGUAACUGGUCUGAGAGGAUGAUCAGUCACACUGGAACUGAGACACGGUCCAGACUCCUACGGGAGGCAGC